Molecule: long non-coding RNA, 1088 nt
Filed under: Malurus cyaneus samueli
Lineage: Eukaryota; Metazoa; Chordata; Aves; Passeriformes; Maluridae
Description: lncRNA (ENSMCSG00000003900.1)
Source: RNAcentral
UGUAAUAUAUUCUGGUGCCUCAUGGAUGGCACAAGGGUUAACAAAUGCACAGGCAAUGCUGAGAGCUGGAACACAAGAGCCCAGGAAAGACACAGAGAGUAAGCUUUGAGAGACUACUGAGAGGAUAGACAGUUUGAAAAUUUAGCCCAUUUUAUAAAUAAGUAACUGCUUCAAAAAGAAGUUGUGAUGCCCAGUGUCCUGCUGGCUGUGCACUGGCCUAGGACACACUACACUCUGCUGCUGCACAUCAGCACACAAUCCUGCAGUUCACCCCUGCUGUGCUCCACAGCACCCUGUAUUGUGCUAUUCGAGGGCUGUUAGUACUGCUGAUCACUGCACCAUCUAAUCACUUCCCUCCCCAACCUCUUCUACCUUCAUAUAGCAUGAUCAAUUAUUUUUCCUUUUUCUGUCAUGAUAACAAAUGGCAUUUUAUGCCUUGUCUUUAGCAGGACCAUAAGUUUUCAUUCUGCAGUUUAACCAUUCUUAUUUAUUAUCAUUAUGCUGAGCUCUGAAUUAGUGUUGAGUUUUAGGGAAAUUUCUAUUUAAAAUUUUCAAGUAAUAUACUCACUGCUUCUAAAGGAAUAACCACUGUAGAAGCUCUGAUAUUAAAGCAUCUGUGUGCGUUCCAGCAACUGAAAUCUGGGUUAGAUUUUAAAUUCACUCCCUGUAUCAAAAUAAGGAGCACUCAUGCUACUGAAUGUUCCCAUUCAGAGGGCCCUCUCCUGCUGAGGCACUGAAAUACUUAAUCCAUCCAUUCUAAGAGCUGUCCAGUUGUUGCAAAAACAUAAAUUGACAGAAAUCAUACGAAGUAAACAUUAACCUCAGCCUCAGAGUAGGAUGAUUACUUAAGCUGAAGGUGCAGAAGAGGCAUGAGAGAAAGCACUUCCUCAGUCUGACAGAGUUCUGACUGUCUGGGAUCAGCCACCCUUUUGAUAUGAGAUGGACAAGCUCCUUCCAGAAGUGGUUCUAUACCAGUGGUUUGUUGUAAUGCUCUUUAUGUUGGGAGAUGGUCAAUCCCUCAGAAGUCCCUCACAAAUCCUCAUCCAUGGUAAGAAAAGUAGAUACAGCAUCUUCGGGAGUCAUUGAUG